RNAcentral lists this ribosomal RNA (1094 nucleotides) under uncultured bacterium. RNAcentral's name for it is "bacterial SSU rRNA". It matches the Rfam family "Bacterial small subunit ribosomal RNA", at positions 56 to 1137 of the family's 1533-position model. The record is from RNAcentral.
UGCAGUCGAACGGCAGCGGGGGCUUCGGCCUGCCGGCGAGUGGCGAACGGGUGAGUAAUGCAUCGGAACGUACCCAGUCAUGGGGGAUAACUACGCGAAAGCGUGGCUAAUACCGCAUACGCCCUGAGGGGGAAAGCGGGGGAGUCUUUCGGGACCCUCGCGUGAUUGGAGCGGCUGAUGUCGGAUUAGCUUGUUGGUGGGGUAAAGGCCUACCAAGGCGACGAUCCGUAGCUGGUCUGAGAGGAUGAUCAGCCACACUGGGACUGAGACACGGCCCAGACUCCUACGGGAGGCAGCAGUGGGGAAUUUUGGACAAUGGGCGCAAGCCUGAUCCAGCCAUGCCGCGUGAGUGAAGAAGGCCUUCGGGUUGUAAAGCUCUUUCAGUCGGGAAGAAACGGCGCGCUCUAACAUAGCGUGUUAAUGACGGUACCGACAGAAGAAGCACCGGCUAACUACGUGCCAGCAGCCGCGGUAAUACGUAGGGUGCGAGCGUUAAUCGGAAUUACUGGGCGUAAAGCGUGCGCAGGCGGUUCGCUAAGACAGGUGUGAAAUCCCCGGGCUCAACCUGGGAAUGGCGCUUGUGACUGGCGGGCUAGAGUACGGCAGAGGGGGGUGGAAUUCCACGUGUAGCAGUGAAAUGCGUAGAGAUGUGGAGGAACACCGAUGGCGAAGGCAGCCCCCUGGGCCGAUACUGACGCUCAUGCACGAAAGCGUGGGGAGCAAACAGGAUUAGAUACCCUGGUAGUCCACGCCCUAAACGAUGUCGACUAGUCGUUCGGAGAGGUAACUUUCUGAGUGACGCAGCUAACGCGUGAAGUCGACCGCCUGGGGGAGUACGGUCGCAAGAUUAAAACUCAAAGGAAUUGACGGGGACCCGCACAAGCGGUGGAUGAAUGUGGAUUAAUUCGAUGCAACGCGAAAAACCUUACCUACCCUUGACAUGCCUGGAACUUGCCAGAGAUGGCUUGGUGCCUUCGGGAGCCAGGACACAGGUGCUGCAUGGCUGUCGUCAGCUCGUGUCGUGAGAAGGUUGGGGUUAAGUCCCGCAACGAGCGCAACCCUUUGUCGUUAAUUGCCAUCAUUUGAGUUGGGGA